AAUAAAUUAAAAAAAAAAAAAAGACUAGCUUGACCAAUAUGGUGAAACCCUGUCUCUACUAAAAAUACAAAAAUUAGUUGGGUGUGGUGGCACACGCCUGUAGUCCCAGCUACUGGGGAGGCUGAGGCAGGAGAAUCACUUAAACCCAGGAGAUGGAGGUUGCAGUGAGCUGAGGUCGCACCACUGCACUCUAGCCUGGGCGGCAGAACGAGACUUCAUCUCAAAAAAAGAAAAAAAAAAAAGAACAGAAUGUUGGUAGAAAUAGGAACAUCACAGGUGCUUCUGGUGAGGCCUUAGAAGAGAGUAAGGAACAUGCUAUUGGAAAGAGGAGGAAAAGUGAUCUUUGUUAUAGAGUGGUAGAGAAGUUGGCUGAACUACAUUCUAGUGUUGGGUAGAAAGUAGGAGACUUCCAGCUGGGCGUGUUGGCUCACGCCUGUAAUCCUGGCACUUUGGGAGGCCGAGGCGGGCAGAUCACGAGGUCAGGAGAUCGAGACCAUCCUGGCUAACACGGUGAAACCCCAUCUCUACUAAAAAUACAAAAAAAAAUUAGCCGGGCAUGGUGGCAGGCGCCUGUAGUCUCAGCUACUCAGGAGGCUGAGGGAGGAGAAUGGCAUGAACCCAGGAGGCGGAGCUUGCAGUGAGCCGAGAUCGCACCACUGCACUCCAGCCUGGGUGACAGAACAAGACUCCGUCUCAAAAAAAAAAAAAAAAAAGAAAGUAGAUUUCCAAACAGUGUAGAAGGUAUGGCCUGGUUUGUCUUUGCUGCUUGUAGCAAUUUAUCUCUUUUAAGAGAAAAGAGAUAAAUUGAGGAAGGAACUGUUAAGCAAAAAGGAACUGUACUUGGUAAUCUAGGAAGCCCUUAGCCUGUCCAGAUUGCUAAAUUAGCAAAUUCACUAUUGAGAAAAUGUGGAGAGAAAGUGUGAAGAGAACACCAAGGGUGUUGUUGGACAUUUUGUUGAAGACAUUAUGAAUGUGACUCGUGGAUCCAAUCAACCAUCUCAGUGGAAUUGAGGAAUAGAGAUGAGGUUAUCCAGGAAUGAUCUGUGGAUAGAGCCUCUUGUCUGAUGGCAUGGGUCCCUGUAAACUACACAGGAGACCAACAAGAUUUCUGAGAAUGUUACACCAGCAGAAAUGCUGCCAGCCUGGAUUGAAAGCCACCGUGCCUGGCCCCUUUUCUCCCUUUUGGAAGGCGCUCAGACUUUGGAGGAUAUUGGGAUGAGGUGAAUGUGUUUUGAACAUGGGACCACAGUAACCUUUGGGAGUUCCAACUGUAGUGGGUUCAAUAGUGUACCUGCAAAUUUAUGUCUGCCUGGAACGUCAGAAUGUGAUCUUAUUUGGAAAUAAGAUCUUUGCAGAUAUAGUUAGAUAUAGAAGUCAUACUGGAUUAGGAUGGGCCAUAAAUCCAAUAACUAGUGUCCCAAUAAGAAGAAAAGACACAGAGAUGUGGUGGUGGAGGUAGAGAUUGGAGUGGUGCAGCUACAAGCCAAGGAGUACCAAGAAUGCCUUUGUUUUGAGGCCCCGAUUUGUGGUACUUUGUUGCAGUGACCGUGGGACACUAACACACAGGGUGGGUAAUUAAGCUAUUAGGUCUGGAGGCAACUGGAACUUAGUCUGCUGGGGAGUCUGGUAGCUACUACUCCAUCCUCCAGUUAAGAGCCCCAGAACACAUCUGCUGAUGAACAAAGUUGGAUUUGCAGACUUGCUGCAAUGAGCGGGAGCACAUGUGUUGGGAAAGCCUAGGGCAUUGCAAUGGGAUGCUUGUAGGGAGGACGUAGAGUAGGAUUUGGGCUGUGUUAGGUGGUUUUGAAGGGGGUUCAAAAGCCAGUCUGCACUGGAUGCUAUCGGGAGCAAUUCUAUGCUUGGGUAUUUUAAUACAUUCCAUCAGAAAGCAGAGGAAUGAAAUGAGGCUCAAGCUGCAAUUGGUAUGAAACAGCAGCCACUCGUAUCACCCAGGAUAUUGGUAUUGUCUUUCCAGGGACUUUUUUCCUUUUUUUUUUUUUUUUUUUUUUUUUGAGACUGAGUCUUUCUCUGUCACCCAGGUGGAGUGCAAUGGCAUGAUCUCGGCUCACUGCAACCUCUGCCUCCCGGGUUCAAACGAUUCUCCUGCCUCAGCCUCUCACGUAGCUGGGAUUACAGGUGCCUACUACCAUGCCCAGCUAAUUUUUGUAUUUUUUUAGUAGAGAUUGAGUUUCGCCAUGUUAGCCAGGCUGGUCUUGAACUCCUGGGCUCAAGGUUAUCCAUCUGCGUCAGCCUCCCAAAGUGGUGGGAUUACAGGCGUGAGCCUCCACACUUGGCCUGUGACUUUGCUUUUUCUGUGCCAAGACAAGAUGUUGAAGUGGUCUUGUCUGAUAUUGAUGCCCUGUGAGACUGUUUAUGUUCAACGGGAGCUGUGAAUGCCAGCUCAGUUCUGGCUUCUCACAGGGUAGACAGUCACCCCGGUACCAUCCAGCUGGGCAUUUACCCUCCAACACCUGGGAGACACCAGGAGACACUUGGAGACACUGGUUGAGGGCUGCUCUUGGGACCACUAAUUCAUUCCCCUACAUUUCUGGCCU
RNAcentral lists this long non-coding RNA (2555 nucleotides) under Homo sapiens (human). RNAcentral describes it as "HSALNT0152202". Lineage: Eukaryota; Metazoa; Chordata; Mammalia; Primates; Hominidae. The record is from RNAcentral.